Molecule: ribosomal RNA, 495 nt
Filed under: uncultured bacterium
Lineage: Bacteria
Description: bacterial SSU rRNA
Rfam family: Bacterial small subunit ribosomal RNA
Source: RNAcentral
AGAGUUUGAUUCUGGCUCAGGAUGAACGCUGGCGGCGUGCCUAACACAUGCAAGUCGAGCGAAGCACUUUAAUUCGAUUCUUCGGAUGAAGAUUUUUGUGACUGAGCGGCGGACGGGUGAGUAACGCGUGGGCAACCUGCCUUACACAGGGGGAUAACAGUUAGAAAUGACUGCUAAUACCGCAUAAGACCGCAGUACCGCAUGGUACAGCGGUAAAAACUCCGGUGGUGUAAGAUGGGCCCGCGUCUGAUUAGGUAGUUGGCGGGGUAACGGCCCACCAAGCCGACGAUCAGUAGCCGACCUGAGAGGGUGACCGGCCACAUUGGGACUGAGACACGGCCCAGACUCCUACGGGAGGCAGCAGUGGGGAAUAUUGCACAAUGGGGGAAACCCUGAUGCAGCGACGCCGCGUGAGCGAUGAAGUAUUUCGGUAUGUAAAGCUCUAUCAGCAGGGAAGAAAAUGACGGUACCUGACUAAGAAACCCCGGCUAACUA